GAUUGAACGCUGGCGGCAGGCCUAACACAUGCAAGUCGAGCGGUAGCACAGAGAGCUUGCUCUCGGGUGACGAGCGGCGGACGGGUGAGUAAUGUCUGGGAAACUGCCUGAUGGAGGGGGAUAACUACUGGAAACGGUAGCUAAUACCGCAUAAYGUCGCAAGACCAAAGUGGGGGACCUUCGGGCCUCAUGCCAUAAGAUGUGCCCAGAUGGGAUUAGCUAGUAGGUGGGGUAACGGCUCACCUAGGCGACGAUCCCUAGCUGGUCUGAGAGGAUGACCAGCCACACUGGAACUGAGACACGGUCCAGACUCCUACGGGAGGCAGCAGUGGGGAAUAUUGCACAAUGGGCGCAAGCCUGAUGCAGCCAUGCCGCGUGUGUGAAGAAGGCCUUCGGGUUGUAAAGCACUUUCAGCGGGGAGGAAGGCGGUGAGGUUAAUAACCUCAUCGAUUGACGUUACCCGCAGAAGAAGCACCGGCUAACUCC
This 486-nucleotide ribosomal RNA is filed under the name Klebsiella pneumoniae. RNAcentral describes it as "bacterial SSU rRNA". It matches the Rfam family "Bacterial small subunit ribosomal RNA", at positions 27 to 504 of the family's 1533-position model. Lineage: Bacteria; Pseudomonadati; Pseudomonadota; Gammaproteobacteria; Enterobacterales; Enterobacteriaceae. The record is from RNAcentral.